This is a non-coding RNA of Phthorimaea operculella (potato tuberworm), 71 nucleotides long. NCBI's taxonomy places the organism in Eukaryota, Metazoa, Arthropoda, Insecta, Lepidoptera, Gelechiidae. The record is from the annotation of a GenBank genome assembly.
GCAUCGAUAGCUCAGUGGCCGAGCGGUGGGACGGUGACAUAUGCGGCCCGGGUUCGAGCCCGGUCGAUGCA